ACGCUUGAAGUCAGUCGCGUUGACCGAGACUCAGCCUUGCCUCGGCUUGGUGUACUUCUCGGCUUGACGGGUCAGCGUCGAUUUUGCCCCUCGGAUAAUGGCAAGGGAAAGGUGGCACCUUUGCGGGUGUGUUAUAGUCUCCUGUCGCAUGUGAGGGGUGAGAUCGAGGAACUCAGUGCGCGCCUCUGGCGUCGGGGCCUUUUGGCCCACGUAACGCGCUUAGGACGCUGGCGUAAUGGCUUUAAACGACCCGUCUUGAAACACGGACCAAGGAGUC
Molecule: ribosomal RNA, 277 nt
Filed under: Lactarius pterosporus
Lineage: Eukaryota; Fungi; Basidiomycota; Agaricomycetes; Russulales; Russulaceae
Description: partial large subunit ribosomal RNA
Source: RNAcentral